This 578-nucleotide ribosomal RNA is filed under the name uncultured bacterium. Its description in RNAcentral is "bacterial SSU rRNA". It matches the Rfam family "Bacterial small subunit ribosomal RNA", at positions 102 to 676 of the family's 1533-position model. The record is from RNAcentral.
ACGGGUGAGUAAUGUCUGGGGAUCUGCCCGAUAGAGGGGGAUAACCACUGGAAACGGUGGCUAAUACCGCAUAACGUCGCAAGACCAAAGAGGGGGACCUUCGGGCCUCUCACUAUCGGAUGAACCCAGAUGGGAUUAGCUAGUAGGCGGGGUAAUGGCCCACCUAGGCGACGAUCCCUAGCUGGUCUGAGAGGAUGACCAGCCACACUGGAACUGAGACACGGUCCAGACUCCUACGGGAGGCAGCAGUGGGGAAUAUUGCACAAUGGGCGCAAGCCUGAUGCAGCCAUGCCGCGUGUAUGAAGAAGGCCUUCGGGUUGUAAAGUACUUUCAGCGGGGAGGAAGGCGGUGCGGUUAAUAACCGCACCGAUUGACGUUACCCGCAGAAGAAGCACCGGCUAACUCCGUGCCAGCAGCCGCGGUAAUACGGAGGGUGCAAGCGUUAAUCGGAAUUACUGGGCGUAAAGCGCACGCAGGCGGUCUGUUAAGUCAGAUGUGAAAUCCCCGGGCUUAACCUGGGAACUGCAUUUGAAACUGGCAGGCUUGAGUCUUGUAGAGGGGGGUAGAAUUCCAGGUGU